GGGAGGGGUAGGUGGAAGUGAACGUUGGAGAGGAAGAGAGAGUUACUGGAGAAAGAAAGACGUACCUGUUGGCAAAUGACAGAGGUCUAAAUUUAAGACAACUGGCUUAAGAUUGUACUAAAAGAGACUCAAUGAAGGAUCAAACCCCCUGACAGAAGUGCACACCUAAUUCAGCUUAUUCUUCAGUAUUUCAGAGGUCAACAGAUUAGUAUUUGGAUAAAGUAACACUUUUUGAAAACUCAAAAGCACGUCUGAUUUAUGGAGUUAAAUUUGGCCUUAGAAAAACUUUUGCACUGGCUUAAUGGUUGCAUUUUGUUAUUUCUAUCAAUGUUUCCCCUCUCAGAAACCCCCCCN
This 354-nucleotide long non-coding RNA is filed under the name Nicotiana benthamiana. RNAcentral's name for it is "long non-coding RNA (NBEN_LNC042080)". The record is from RNAcentral. Lineage: Eukaryota; Viridiplantae; Streptophyta; Magnoliopsida; Solanales; Solanaceae.